UUUAGUCUCUAUUGAUCUAGGAAUGCAGUCAGUCAUGAGAAUCUUGCAGAGAUACAUGUUAAACAUUUAGUCGAUUAUUAACAGACAUUCUUCUGGUUUAUUGUUCAAUACAGCACCAUGCAUCACGUAGGCUUGGAGUUGCUGUUUUCUUAGAGGAAAGCCUUAGGCCGAUUCCUUGGGUGAUGGGGACUGAAAAGCUACUUACCACCUGCCCUUUGGGGCGCCACGGAAUCGAGCGGCAGUGGGAACGGGAAGGAAGGAAGCUCGCCAGAUUGUUUGUCUGGGGGUUAAUGAGUGGACACAUCUGAAGCUCUGCCGACAAUGCCUGCCACAUGGGAAUCCUGAAAAACGUAGCUGUUAUCAAAAGUACUCCUUCAAACAUAACUGAGUACCUGAGACCCUCUUGUCAUCUGUCGCAGCAGUGUGCACGGAUAGAGUGUCAGACGCAUUUCCUCAAUGCAACGGCCUUAAGAAACAGACGUAGGCUAUCCACCCUGUAGGACAAAGCUUACACAUAUGUGCGGUCCCCCACCACACACCACCCAAGGAUGGAGUACACUGUAAGUUCACACUGGCUGCUGACUGAAUCAAAGUUGGAACUGUUGUUCUUACUCACCUCAUCAAGCUCACCACUGGAUCUCAAUUCUCUAGGCUGAAACAGCAGUCCUCCUUGACGAUAGUGUAAUUGUGAGUUAUCUCAGCCACUCUUCUUCACACUCACAAUAUAAUAAUAUGAUCUCAGAAUAGCUACAUCAAUAUCACCACCAACAAUGAUUAUUGAAAAGAGGUAAAGAAUUUCCCCAGUUCUUAUCUAACCUGGUAGGGAGAUCAGUAGACCUUCUGGCUUUUCUUCUCUGUGUGCCCAUGCUACCUGAUCAACAGCUUGUCAAUUUCAUGGUUUUCAGUUUCCUUUUGAUUUUUAAGAAUUGCCUUUCUAACUGUGGUUUUGUUUAAGGCCAUGUUAAGUAUCACACGAGCUCGUGUCAAUGUACGUGGUGAAGCACGCUCAGGGAAGAGUCGCUUCUCUCCUGCCUUUUGUGUCUCUUCCUUCCAUUCGUCUUCCAGGUGCUUUUUUAAAAUAUUAAAACCAAACACAUUUGCAUAGAUACACAUGUGUGUUUACAUGCACAAAACUUCCCUUCUGAGCAGGUAAAUAUACUAUAAGUAAAGCACGUGGAAACAUUCCUGCUGCUUCCCACAGCCCUAAGUGACCCAUUGUGAGGAUGUCCCAUGGUUUACUCAGCAAGACCUAUUGCAGGACACUGGCCCUUCCCAUUCCUCCCCAUCAAACCUGCAAGGAACAAGUGUGUAUGUACAAAGUGCUUUGCGGGAUCCAUUCCUGGGAAUGAGAUUCCUUGGUCAAAGAUAAAUACAUGCAUCAUUGUGCUAAUAUGCUCAAUUCCCUUUUAUUAGGUUAAUGUCACUUUUCUAUUUUCAUCAAUGUGUGAUACUUGGUGUUUUUUCCCUAUUUUGUUUUACUAUUCUCAUAUUUUGCUAAGGUAGGGAAGGGAUAGGACGCUGAAAAUAAGUAUAAUAAAUAUUACGACAGUAAGACCUUCAGAAAAUUCUCAUUGUAAUAAAAUUAUAAAUUCUCAAUUAUCUCUUAUAACAAGAGUGUUCUGUCACUUGUGAUAAGUCCAGAUUCACUUUACCUCCUGUUUGCAGUGAAGACGUCUGCACAAGCCCUUUGUGAGGGUUACAUUUGGGCAGGUGGAGCUGUUACUUUCUUUAAAGACAGGUUUCUGAGGUACAGCUGUCACCCAGUUGGCACAUCUACUUAAAUUUCUCAUGUGCAAACUGUUUCUUCCUGGUUUGCAUUCCUUAAAGUUUACAAGAUAACAAGCGAUUUCUCAGAAGAAUUAUAUUCCAGAGUCAGGCAAAAUCAUUUUCACUAGGAAACAAAUAACAUUACUUUCAAGUGGGGCUUGACACAGAAAUACAGUGUCUGUGUCAGGAGACAUACAGGAGUUCUCUCCAUCUUAGACUGGGUUUUUAAAAUUUUUAAAAAAUUUUUAGAGUUUAUUUUAAUUAAUUAUACAUGACAGUAGAAUGCAUGUUGAUACAUCAUAUAUAAUGGAGAAUAAUUUCUCAUUCUUCUGGUUGUACAUGAUGUAGACUCACGCUGGUCAUGUAGUUAUAUAUGUACAUAGUGUAAUAAUGUCUGAUUCAUUCUUCUCUCCUUCCUGCUGGAACGGGUUUUAUGCAUAUGGGUAAUGGGGACUCUUCCUUCAUUUGUGUUCUCUUCAGGGUUGGACUGCUUAUUGAGGUCUAGUGCUCUUGUCCCCACACGAACUGGUAGAGAUAUGAGAUCAACAAAGUAGACAGAGACUCUGUUAUGGGAAGCGGGUCAUUCAAGAAAAAGUGCACCCUACUUUUAUGACAGUUGCGAUAAAUGUGCCGACUUUCCUGAACCUUCUAGUGUGGUCAGUAUUUAUGUAUUUAUUAUGUUUUAUACUUAGUAUUUAUUAAGCCAACCUAUAUUUUGCAGUAUUGUGAGCCCAGUAUGGCUCCAAGUAUUUACAGACAUUAACUCUAAUAAAUACUGUCUAAACUAAGUCAUAAAUAACCAAGCAGCAAUAAAUAGGAUGAAGAUGUCCUCUCAAGUCUGUUCACCUGAUUUGUGUUCUUGUUUAUGCCCAAAUCCACUGAAACUCAUUUUGCUUCCUCUGGUAUUAUAAAAUGCUUUUCCUAGCAUCCCUAGUGGACUUCUGCUUGUACUUUAAAUGUACUAACUGGCAAGAUUAGUCCUCCAGCUAAAACAGCUAGAAAAUCUAGAAAAAAAUUGGUGCAAAGAUACUAGGAAAAAAGGAAGCAUGGGAAUAGAACUCACAACAGGAAAAAAAAAAACAAAAAAACAAAUAAGGUGAUCUUCAGUGUUGGGCUUUUUGCCUGGACCAUGGCCAGGAGGGGGCAGCCCAAGCAGAACUUGGACCUCUCCAGGAUGGGGAAAUGGAGACCAGAGUCCAGGGUACUGUGACAUUGCAUAGGAAAUGCUCAGAGGGAAUUUGGGUCAGAGAACUGGACAGUAAAGAGCCAUGCAGAGAAGGAGGUCCACAUCCACUCCUUCCCGAGACUCUGAAUUUGAAUAUGCACCAGUGUAAGUACUUACUUAGCAAAGAUGACGGUCGGAGGACCAUAGACUGAGGAGCCGCUGGAGCCUGCAUGGAGCUGGCCUCCACGGGCCUGCGUGGAACAGCAGGGCAGGCUUGAGGAAGGCCCAGGACAGGCCCAGGGCUAAGCCACCUUUGGAGAAACCAACACUAAACCACUCUAGCAAAGUUAAAAAAAAAAAAAAAAAGUACUAAGAAAUGUUGGCCUUCAAAUACAUGAACCAAAUUCCAGAACAAGCACAGAGCUCCUUACCGGAAGUUAGGAACCCAGAUAUGAGCACUGAUGUUGGCAAACAUCCAAUCACAGUGACGGGGACACACCGAGAGGCAGGUAAAUGUGCCUCCAGACCAAGAGAAAGUCCAGCUGAUGGAAACAGCCGUGCCUCCUCCUCGCCAGCCUGGGGCUCCCGUCUGGCUGUGGCCUCGGCCUCCACCCACUGCCGCCCGGGUUCUGUGCCCCUUCCGCUUCCUUGGCCUCGGCAGCUCUGCAUGGCCACAUUCUGCCUGCCGUCGCCCCCUGAGGCUCCUUCACUGGCUCUCAGUGUGACUCGUUGCUCAGUGUCAGCCUUGGCGAUGCCCUGAGCGCGUCCCCCAACCUCAACUAUCAGGGAACGUGAUGGCCCAGGCGACAGUGUUGGGAGGCGGAGCCUAAUGAGGUGACUUGUGGCAUUGCUGUGGGGUGGGCUAGUUACGGAGAGGGUGGCUUGCUUUAGAGGUGAGCUGGCCUCCCUUGCCCUCUACAUUCCGCUGUUGGAAGACGCUGCACAACACCAAGAGGCAGACAACCACCCUGUGCUCUGGGUCUCCCCAGGCUCCAGGCUCUUCAGACACUCGCUCAGGUGCUCAGUUAAAAAGCAGCUGAAGAUGGCGGGCGACAGUGUUCCUCACGGCCUUCCUGUUGCCUCUGUGACUCACCCCAGUUCUCUGCACAGUGACCUUUGUCCCUGUGUCUUCAAGUCUUUUUCCCCCCAAGAAACUUCUGUUUCUAUAGUAAUUAAAGUGUCUUAUAAUUAUUGUAAUCACGACAAUAUCCACAUGCAUUAGACUUAUCAAAUAUUGUCACAUACUUUAUUUGCUUUGAUUCUCAUGCACCCCUGUGUGAUGGAAAAUUCAAGAACUAUCAGUACUAUUUAACAAAGAAGAAAAUGAAUGUCAGGAAGAUUACAGCACUGGCACCCAGGUCUGCCUGGCCCCCUGUGGUGGCCAUCAGGGGAGACCCUGGCUGUGGGCAGAGCAGGGGAGGAUGGCGGGGGGUCCCAGGGAAAACCACGGCUACAGCAUCCUGUGUCCAUGUCCACAGAUGUCCGAGGACUCACUGCAGAAGCCACACACAGGUGGCCUCUGUGCCCAGUGGCGAGGUGCCUGGCUCCCCAUCACUCACAGCUCAGAGUGCCUGGGGAGGAAGAGUCGGAGCCUGCUCUCAAGGCUCCCCCAGCUGGGGGUGGUGAGGUCCCUGGCCCCCACGGACUCAACAGGGAAGAAUGGACAGCAGGAAGCUGCUUAGAGAGCUGUUCUCAAUGACCUCCUCCCCGCUGUCCUGGUGCCAUGACGGGGACAGAAGAAAACAGUGGGUACAUGUGGAAACUUUCAGGCAGUUAGAUGGAAAGGAGACACAAGUACCAUAAACAUGACAGAAGAAGAAACACAUUCUCGGGCUCAAGGUUGACGACGUUCCUUUGCAUGUGGAGACAGCCACGCCGCGUGUUGGUUGGCUAGGUUUCUCCCAUGUGUUUUACAUAGAAAUGGAAUUGAUAAACCAUAUUUUACAAAAUUAA
Molecule: long non-coding RNA, 4885 nt
Organism: Marmota monax (woodchuck)
Lineage: Eukaryota; Metazoa; Chordata; Mammalia; Rodentia; Sciuridae
Exons: 3
Source: RefSeq, a predicted model, not a curated record